Bombus pascuorum is the source of this 809-nucleotide long non-coding RNA. RefSeq lists it as uncharacterized. The transcript has 2 exons. The record is from RefSeq and is a predicted model, not a curated record. NCBI's taxonomy places the organism in Eukaryota, Metazoa, Arthropoda, Insecta, Hymenoptera, Apidae.
GACAACAUUCUUCCCCAAUGAACCGUUUAUCUUAUUGGUGAUCACGGGUGACCAUCGUGCGCCUUGGUAACAGUUGAUAGCGACAUAUUAUAACGAGGCUUCGUUUAUUUCAACAAACCAUUCGCAUUCGUUAUUUCGUCGUAAGUAAAACGUGCAGAAUAUAUUGUUAAAACGUGUAGAAGAUAUUAGUAAACAGUAUUAUGAUUAUUUUUAUGAUUUCGACGAAACAUUCGGCUAAAAUGGUAGAGGUCCGCAAGAAAAUUAUGUUUGUGAUAAACCAAUGGUAGUGGUAGAUUACAACAGAGGAAAAUGUGCUGUAGAUUUAUCGGACCAAAUGAUAGCAUAUUCUACACCACAUAGAAGAACCCCCAAGUGAUAUAUAAAAUUAGCUUUAGAGUUAUUGUUAAAUACAUCAAUUUCAAACGCGAUGAUACUCUAUAAACAAGCAACAAAAACAAAAAUCAAGGUAUCAGAUUUUAGAAUGGCACUCGGAAUGCACCUUACACAGUGCCAUUCACCAGAGCCGUCAAAUAUACUUAUUCGAAAAAGAUUGCGACACGAAAUGCAGAAGAAGGAAGGGGCAAGUGUACUUGGCACGAAAAUUUUGCAGAGGGUACUAUAAAAAAAUGUUAAACAGUUAGGAUCAAAAAUUUCUAAGAAUCGAACCAAAAAGGUGACCACCUAUUGUCCAGAUUGUAUUGAUGAGCCACAUUUAUGUUUAAAGUGCUUUAACACAGUGUACCGUUAGAUGCAAGAUUUGUUCUCAUCUUUUUUUAUUGAUGUUCUAAUAAAAAUGUUUAAUUGUUCAA